AAUUCUCAAAUUGAGGUUCUUUUUUCUGAAUCUUGGUUUGGUUUUGGGCUUUGCUGUGUCACUACGGCUGGUCUUAAAAGUAUUAGCUGAAUCUUGGUGUAGGCCUGGUUUGACUCGGCGUGAUAAUUUACUGAUCGCUGAGGACAUUCUUUGGAAUGGCCAGACGUAUCCUUGAAUCGCUUCUAAUCAGGAACUUGUUCCUAAUUUUUCAU
RNAcentral lists this unclassified non-coding RNA (212 nucleotides) under uncultured Cantharellales. RNAcentral describes it as "sequence contains ITS2". Lineage: Eukaryota; Fungi; Basidiomycota; Agaricomycetes; Cantharellales. The record is from RNAcentral.